This 550-nucleotide ribosomal RNA is filed under the name uncultured bacterium. RNAcentral's name for it is "bacterial SSU rRNA". It matches the Rfam family "Bacterial small subunit ribosomal RNA", at positions 52 to 634 of the family's 1533-position model. The record is from RNAcentral.
CACAUGCAAGUCGAACGAGAAAGUGGAGCAAUCCAUGAGUAAAGUGGCGACCGGGUGAGUAACACGUGACUAACCUACCCUCGAGUGGGGAAUAACUCCGGGAAACCGGGGCUAAUACCGCAUAACAUCGCAAGAUCAAAGCAGCAAUGCGCUUGAGGAGGGGGUCGCGGCUGAUUAGCUAGUUGGCGGGGUAACGGCCCACCAAGGCGAAGAUCGGUAUCCGGCCUGAGAGGGCGCACGGACACACUGGAACUGAAACACGGUCCAGACUCCUACGGGAGGCAGCAGUGGGGAAUUUUGCGCAAUGGGGGAAACCCUGACGCAGCAACGCCGCGUGGAGGAUGAAGCCCUUUGGGGCGUAAACUCCUUUCGACUCGGACGAUAAUGACGGUACGAGUGGAAGAAGCACCGGCUAACUCUGUGCCAGCAGCCGCGGUAAUACAGAGGGUGCGAGCGUUGUUCGGAAUUAUUGGGCGUAAAGGGCGCGUAGGCGGUGCGGUAAGUCACCUGUGAAAUCUCCUGGCUUAACUGGGAGCCUGCAGGCGAAACU